Molecule: long non-coding RNA, 742 nt
Organism: Carassius carassius (crucian carp)
Lineage: Eukaryota; Metazoa; Chordata; Actinopteri; Cypriniformes; Cyprinidae
Exons: 4
Source: RefSeq, a predicted model, not a curated record
UUGUCUGCUCUCCACUAUAACAGAGACCUGAAAAUCCCUCUCUCUCCGUCUCCCUCUCUUUCUCUCAGCUGGUUUUCACACAAGAGUAAUAGGAUUACCACACACUGCUCUGCCAAGGACAGAGAGCGGAGGGGGAGACAGGAGGGCAGGUUAAAGAUGGCAAGAGGGAAAUAAAGAGAACAAGUUAAAGAAGAGAAUGCCAUGCUGGACACCCAACCUGAAGUCCUUAGGAGUAACAGGCCUGUGAUAUUUGAGGAGCAACAGAGAGCGCCAUGGAUCUGUAUCCAGUACAGCUGUCAUUUCAGAGGCGUGGAGCCAAUCAGAGGUCUGAUUUAGCAGCAUGACGGGUCUAAAGCGGGGUCAACACAGGGCUGCUACUCAUUGCUGCUGAAAGUACACCAGCUGCUGAACUUCAAAUAGAUGGCGGUAACCCAAAGCUCCUCGUUUCAAACUCUGAAAGGGAAGAACCAUAAAGUAUCAGCGACGUGCUCUUGAGUCCUGCAAGUUUUAGGUUUUGCAGGACCAGCACAUGACAAGCUUAAACCAGCUCAUGACCAGCUAAGAACCAGCUUAAACCAGCAGCCAUGCUUCAAAACAUACCUAACCAGCAUGUGCUGUUUUUUCAACGGGGUUAUCAGUCUUCCUUCAAGUCAGUAUGUCCGUCUUAUUUUUCUGCUUCUUCAGCUGUACAGGUACUGAUUCUCUAUUGGUAAAACUUGAUAAUUAGUGUAUAUAUGAUAAU